GCAGACACAUACCAGCUAAUCAGCAGCAGACCCUCCCUCCCAGACCCUCCCACCUCCUGGACAGCAUCCAUUUUGAAGCUGCAUUCUUAGUGAGCUGUCCAGGAGGUGGGAGGGUCUGGGAGGGAGGGUCUGCUGCUGAUUGGCUGGUAUGUGUCUC
This is a non-coding RNA of Pelobates cultripes (western spadefoot toad), 157 nucleotides long. NCBI's taxonomy places the organism in Eukaryota, Metazoa, Chordata, Amphibia, Anura, Pelobatidae. The record is from the annotation of a GenBank genome assembly.